CACGUAGGCGGCAUGGUAAGUCAAAGGUGAAAGCCCUCGGCUCAACCGGGGAAUUGCCUUUGAAACUGCUUUGCUUGAGUCCGGGAGGGGGGAGCGGAAUUCCCAGAGUAGCGGUGAAAUGCGUAGAUACUGGGAGGGACACCGGUGGCGAAGGCGGCUCCCUGGACCGGUACUGACGCUGAGGUGCGAAAGCGUGGGUAGCAAACA
Molecule: ribosomal RNA, 207 nt
Filed under: uncultured bacterium
Lineage: Bacteria
Description: partial 16S ribosomal RNA
Rfam family: Bacterial small subunit ribosomal RNA
Source: RNAcentral